GACGAACGCUGGCGGCGUGCUUAACACAUGCAGGUCGAACGGAAAGGCCCUGCUUUUGUGGGGUGCUCGAGUGGCGAACGGGUGAGUAACACGUGAGUAACCUGCCCUUGACUUUGGGAUAACUUCAGGAAACUGGGGCUAAUACCGGAUAGGAGCUCCUGCUGCAUGGUGGGGGUUGGAAAGUUUCGGCGGUUGGGGAUGGACUCGCGGCUUAUCAGCUUGUUGGUGGGGUAGUGGCUUACCAAGGCUUUGACGGGUAGCCGGCCUGAGAGGGUGACCGGCCACAUUGGGACUGAGAUACGGCCCAGACUCCUACGGGAGGCAGCAGUGGGGAAUAUUGCACAAUGGGCGGAAGCCUGAUGCAGCAACUCCGCGUGCGGGAUGACGGCCUUCGGGUUGUAAACCGCUUUCGCCUGUGACGAAGCGUGAGUGACGGUAAUGGGUAAAGAAGCACCGGCUAACUACGUG
Molecule: ribosomal RNA, 468 nt
Filed under: uncultured bacterium
Lineage: Bacteria
Description: partial 16S ribosomal RNA
Rfam family: Bacterial small subunit ribosomal RNA
Source: RNAcentral